UUGGAGGGCAAGUCUGGUGCCAGCAGCCGCGGUAAUUCCAGCUCCAAUAGCGUAUAUUAAAGUUGUUGCAGUUAAAAAGCUCGUAGUUGAAUUUCGGGGUCAGUAGGCUGGUCGUGCCACAGGUAUGUACUGGUCUCACUGAUUCCUCCUUCCUGAUGAACCGUAAUGCCAUUAAUUUGGUGCUGCGGGGAAUCUGGACUGUUACUUUGAAAAAAUUAGAGUGUUUAAAGCAGGCUAACGCUUGAAUACAUUAGCAUGGAAUAAUGAAAUAGGACGAUCGAUCCUAUUUUGUUGGUUUCUAGGAUUGACGUAAUGAUUAAUAGGGAUAGUUGGGGGCAUUAGUAUUCAAUUGUCAGAGGUGAAAUUCUUGGAUUUAUUGAAGACUAACUACUGCGAAAGCAUUUGCCAAGGAUGUUUUCAUUAAUCAAGAACGAAAGUUAGGGGAUCGAAGACGAUCAGAUACCGUCGUAGUCUUAACCAUAAACUAUGCCGACUAGGGAUCGGAUGAUGUUAAUUUUUUAAUGACUCAUUCGGCGCCUUACGGGAAA
Molecule: ribosomal RNA, 548 nt
Filed under: uncultured Glomeromycotina
Lineage: Eukaryota; Fungi; Glomeromycota
Description: SSU rRNA
Rfam family: Eukaryotic small subunit ribosomal RNA
Source: RNAcentral